This 465-nucleotide ribosomal RNA is filed under the name Vreelandella stevensii. RNAcentral describes it as "partial 16S ribosomal RNA". It matches the Rfam family "Bacterial small subunit ribosomal RNA", at positions 338 to 795 of the family's 1533-position model. The record is from RNAcentral. Lineage: Bacteria; Pseudomonadati; Pseudomonadota; Gammaproteobacteria; Oceanospirillales; Halomonadaceae.
CCUACGGGGAGCAGCAGUGGGGAAUAUUGGACAAUGGGCGAAAGCCUGAUCCAGCCAUGCCGCGUGUGUGAAGAAGGCCUUCGGGUUGUAAAGCACUUUCAGUGGGGAAGAAAGCCUUGGGUCUAAUACCCUCGAGGAAGGACAUCACCCACAGAAGAAGCACCGGCUAACUCCGUGCCAGCAGCCGCGGUAAUACGGAGGGUGCGAGCGUUAAUCGGAAUUACUGGGCGUAAAGCGCGCGUAGGCGGUCUGAUAAGCCGGUUGUGAAAGCCCCGGGCUCAACCUGGGAACGGCAUCCGGAACUGUCAGGCUAGAGUGCAGGAGAGGAAGGUAGAAUUCCCGGUGUAGCGGUGAAAUGCGUAGAGAUCGGGAGGAAUACCAGUGGCGAAGGCGGCCUUCUGGACUGACACUGACGCUGAGGUGCGAAAGCGUGGGUAGCAAACAGGAUUAGAUACCCUUGUAGUC